GUCUUACUUAGUGGCGGACGGGUGAGUAACGCGUGAGGAACCUGCCCUUCAGGAGGGGGACAACAGUUUGGAAACGACUGCUAAUACCGCACUGAUGUACAAUUGGGACAUCCCUUUUGUACCAAAGGAGCAAUCCGCUGAAGGAUGGCCUCGCGUCCGAUUAGAUAGUUGGUGGGGUAACGGCCCACCAAGUCGACGAUCGGUAGCCGGACUGAGAGGUUGAACGGCCACAUUGGGACUGAGACACGGCCCAGACUCCUACGGGGAGGCACGCAGUGGGGGAUAUUGCACAAUGGGGGAAACCCUGAUGCAGCAACGCCGCGUGAAGGAAGAAGGUCUUCGGAUUGUAAACUUCUGUUUUUAGUGAAGAAACAAAUGACGGUAGCUAAAGAGGAAGCCACGGCUAACUACGUG
RNAcentral lists this ribosomal RNA (414 nucleotides) under uncultured bacterium. RNAcentral describes it as "bacterial SSU rRNA". It matches the Rfam family "Bacterial small subunit ribosomal RNA", at positions 85 to 507 of the family's 1533-position model. The record is from RNAcentral.